GGGGAAUUUUGCGCAAUGGGGGCAACCCUGACGCAGCAACGCCGCGUGCGCGACGACGCCCUUCGGGGUGUAAAGCGCUGUUGCCCGGGCCGACGGUCAUGGCAGGAAGAGGGUCAUGAGUGGACGGCACUGGGUGAGGAAGCCCCGGCUAACUCCGUGCCAGCAGCCGCGGUAAUACGGAGGGUGCGAGCGUUGUUCGGAAUUAUUGGGCGUAAAGCGCGUGUAGGCGGUUUUUUAAGUCUGAUGUGAAAGCCCUGGGCUCAACCCGGGAAGUGCAUUGGAAACUGGGAGACUUGAAUACGGGAGAGGGCAGUGGAAUUCCUGGUGUAGGAGUGAAAUCCGUAGAUAUCAGGAGGAACACCGGUGGCGAAGGCGGCUGCCUGGACCGAUAUUGACGCUGAGACGCGAAAGCGUGGGGAGCAAACA
This 426-nucleotide ribosomal RNA is filed under the name uncultured Desulfuromonadales bacterium. RNAcentral describes it as "bacterial SSU rRNA". It matches the Rfam family "Bacterial small subunit ribosomal RNA", at positions 356 to 774 of the family's 1533-position model. The record is from RNAcentral. Lineage: Bacteria; Pseudomonadati; Thermodesulfobacteriota; Desulfuromonadia; Desulfuromonadales.